UGGGGAAUAUUGGGCAAUGGGCGCAAGCCUGACCCAGCAACGCCGCGUGAGGGAAGAAGGUUUUCGGAUUGUAAACCUCUGUCGCAGAUGACGAAACAAAUGACGGUAAUCUGUGAGGAAGCCCCGGCUAACUACGUGCCAGCAGCCACGGUAAUAAGUAGGGGGCGAGCGUUGUCCGGAAUUACUGGGCGUAAAGGGAGCGUAGGCGGUCAAUGAAGUUGGAUGUGAAAUACCCGGGCUUAACUUGGGGGGUGCAUCCAAUACUGGUUGACGAGAGUACAGGAGAGGAAAGCGGAAUUCCUAGUGUAGCGGUGAAAUGCAUAGAUAUUAGGAGGAACAUCGGUGGCGAAGGCGGCUUUCUGGACUGACACUGACGCUGAGGCUCGAAAGCGUGGGGAGCAAACA
RNAcentral lists this ribosomal RNA (405 nucleotides) under uncultured prokaryote. RNAcentral's name for it is "bacterial SSU rRNA". It matches the Rfam family "Bacterial small subunit ribosomal RNA", at positions 355 to 774 of the family's 1533-position model. The record is from RNAcentral.